CAUUUAGAUGCUUUCUAUUCCAAUUCAUUCCUUAAGUUGGUUUUGUGUCUGUACAGUCAGCAGAUAUUAAUCAUACAUGUAACUCCAGAAUAGUGUUGUUGGUGCAGUUACAGAAUCAGUAAGGAACAUUCGCUAGGUCAUUGAGCUUUGAAUACUUAAAGUCUAACAAAUAAGGAAAUGUGAAUUACACAGUAGUUGUGGUAGGAGGACUUGUUUUGGUUUCUCUUGGUUUUAUCAGUCUGGUUUUUAUUUUGUGUAGGUGAAGAGGGAGGCACCUACUUCAUGGAAGGAGGUUAGGUCUUUGAGGUAGACAAGGCUUUAAUCUUGAAGACUGCUCUGUGGGCUUGAGCAGUCGGGGUAACUUUACUUGGGUUAGUCACACAGGCUCUGCACUUUGGUCACAUAAGUGCUUCUGUACAAAGUUGGCUCCGUGGAUCUGCGUAGUUAAAUAUGCAGUGCAGAUCUGUUCUAGGUUUGUCCGAUGUUCACAUGACUUAGGUCUCAGCCAAGUGCUUUAAAAUACUUGGGUUGCCUCAAGGUGUUCAAACCUACUAAGUAGACAGGCCAUUUGAGAUGGUAAAUUCUAGCCACAUGCAUAGACUCUUCAAUACGUGUCUCUAACAGUGUUAGACCUGGAUUCGGUUUCUACCUCCCCAAUGCUGUAAUGUUCACGUCUGUUUUCAUGAACCACAUUACUGUAAGAUCAUCACAAUUCUGCCGACUUCCUUGAAUGGAAAAGAACGACAAGCUCUUUACAACGCAAACAGGCCAAAGCCUGGCUUAGUGGGAUCCGCUCUUGGUGAGAGCAUUGUUAUGCGAUGAGACAGGUGCAGGCCUCCUGACUGCUUACCUCCUGAACGUCCAUCCAAGAGUGUGUGUCCUGUGCAAGCCCUGGAGAAGAAGACAGUGUUUGCUAGUCUGUUCCUGUUUUGAGAGUGCUUUCAAUGGAG
Molecule: long non-coding RNA, 950 nt
Filed under: Androctonus crassicauda
Lineage: Eukaryota; Metazoa; Arthropoda; Arachnida; Scorpiones; Buthidae
Source: RNAcentral